Molecule: transfer RNA, 74 nt
Filed under: Sphaerobolus stellatus SS14
Lineage: Eukaryota; Fungi; Basidiomycota; Agaricomycetes; Geastrales; Sphaerobolaceae
Description: tRNA-Asn (GTT) (tRNA-Asn-GTT-11-1)
Rfam family: tRNA
About the family: Transfer RNA (tRNA) molecules are approximately 80 nucleotides in length. Their secondary structure includes four short double-helical elements and three loops (D, anti-codon, and T loops).
Source: RNAcentral
UGCCCCAUGGCUUAAUUGGGUAUAGCAUCCGACUGUUAAGCAGAAGGUCGAGAGUUUGAGCUUCUCUGGGGCAG